CUUUGGGAGGCCUAGGCUGGCAGAUCACCUGAGGCCAGGAGCUCGAGACCAGCCUGGCCAACGUGGUGAAACCCUGUCUCUACUAAAAAUACAAAAAUUAGCCAGGUGUGGUGGCGUGCACCUGGAAUCCCAGCUACCCAGGAGACUGAGGCAGGAGAAUUGCUGGAACCCAGGAGGCAGAGGCUUUGAGCUGAGAUCACGUCACUACUGCACUCCAGCCUGGGUGACAGAGCAAGACUCCCCCUAAAAUGAGAAAAAAAGAAAAGAAAAGAAAAGGAUAUAUCUAUGAUGAAUUAAGAUGGAGUGGAACCCACUGAUGGUAUGCAGCGGAUAAGAUGCUACAGAGAAAUGAUAUCCGGACACACGGUGAGAAUUUUUCCCCUCUGUAAAUCAUAAUUCUUGUGAUUCUUUCAAACGGAAAGCCACAGAAGGUACCAGUUAUCCACCCACCUACUUAGGCGCCUCCACUAGAAUUCUCAGCAUGUUUCUGCAGAACCUGGGCAACAAGAGUGAAACCCCACCUCAAAACAAAACGACGAUGACAACAACAGGACAGCAGAGAUGGACGAUGGGUCGGGAAAGCUAACCAGGCAGCGUGAGGCCAGGACAGAAAGAGGCACAGGGACCUCCACUCAGUUUUGCUACCGGGGAUCUCUCAGGCUCACAACGGGUCAGUCCUCUAGGGAAGUUCUGGCCUCAUCAUGAUCCUUCUUUCAUCUCAUUCCCCAUGUCCUUCCUCUGUCCCUCCUCCCACUGCCAUUUAUUUAUUUAACUGAAAAAGUACCAAUCACCCACAUAUGCAUAAAAUACUCAUCCAUGUACUUAUUUCUUAAAAUUGAUCAUUGUUAACAUUUGGUGUCAUUUGCUUUAUUUUUAAUGAAAGAAAUAAAACUUUACAGAAAA
Molecule: long non-coding RNA, 903 nt
Organism: Cercocebus atys (sooty mangabey)
Lineage: Eukaryota; Metazoa; Chordata; Mammalia; Primates; Cercopithecidae
Exons: 2
Source: RefSeq, a predicted model, not a curated record